Molecule: ribosomal RNA, 770 nt
Filed under: Triticum aestivum (bread wheat)
Lineage: Eukaryota; Viridiplantae; Streptophyta; Magnoliopsida; Poales; Poaceae
Description: partial small subunit ribosomal RNA
Source: RNAcentral
CAACGAGAGGGCGGAGUCCCAUAUGCCAUUAUUGCAGCUGCGGAGGUCGCAAUUCCUCUCUCUUGGAUAAGCAUCGCUCCGCCUCUUCGCCUUCGUAUAAGCGAAACUCCUGUCCGUUUCACAUAUCCCGCUCCCGCCACGACCGUGCGCGCGCUCCAGCCUCCAGGGGUAGCCAAGCUCGCAAGAAUCGUCGCCAGCGAGGAGGAAGACGAGGAGGAGCGCCAUGGCGAGCGUGGUCAUCGAGAGCCACGACUCCGCGGUGGCCGGCGGCGGGGACGUGGUGUUCUGCGUCAUCAUCCUGUGCAUGUCCGUGCUGUCCUUGGUCAUCUUGGCGGCCUCCUCUGCCGUCGGCAGCGGCGACGGGGAAGAGGAAGGGAGGCUGCGGCGGCGCUCCGCCUCACGCGGGAACGGGCCGGUGUUCGUGGGCGGCAGGGGCUGCGCCUGCGGCGGCUGCCGCGCCGGCGCCGGCGUCUGCGGCACCUACCUCUCGUGAUCACCGCCGACCGUGCACGCGCCGCGCGCGCACUCCACAUGUACAUACAGCGUGGACGCACUCACCGCAUAACGUAAGGAGGAGCAUCGAUCGGAGCUCUCGCCAGGCUUGCGCAUGGCUACUCCGUUCUUCCUUUUCCUCUGUUUGUACUCCCUAAAGUAGUAUAAGACGUUUUAGAUCACUAAAAGGCAUAUUACUUACUACUGAUAGAUGCACAUCCUGUGAUGUGAAUAAGCUGCAAGAGCAUGGAGUGUUUUAUCUGUUCCUUGAAUAAUCA